GACGAACGCUGGCGGCGUGCUUAACACAUGCAAGUCGAACGGAAAGGCCCUGCUUUUGUGGGGUGCUCGAGUGGCGAACGGGUGAGUAACACGUGAGUAACCUGCCCUUGACUUUGGGAUAACUUCAGGAAACUGGGGCUAAUACCGGAUAGGAGCUCCUGCUGCAUGGUGGGGGUUGGAAAGUUUCGGCGGUUGGGGAUGGACUCGCGGCUUAUCAGCUUGUUGGUGGGGUAGUGGCUUACCAAGGCUUUGACGGGUAGCCGGCCUGAGAGGGUGACCGGCCACAUUGGGACUGAGAUACGGCCUAGACUCCUACGGGAGGCAGCAGUGGGGAAUAUUGCACAAUGGGCGGAAGCCUGAUGCAGCAACGCCGCGUGCGGGAUGACGGCCUUCGGGUUGUAAACCGCUUUCGCCUGUGACGAAGCGUGAGUGACGGUAAUGGGUAGAGAAGCACCGGCUAACUACGUG
RNAcentral lists this ribosomal RNA (468 nucleotides) under uncultured bacterium. RNAcentral's name for it is "partial 16S ribosomal RNA". It matches the Rfam family "Bacterial small subunit ribosomal RNA", at positions 28 to 507 of the family's 1533-position model. The record is from RNAcentral.